Molecule: ribosomal RNA, 491 nt
Filed under: uncultured bacterium
Lineage: Bacteria
Description: partial 16S ribosomal RNA
Rfam family: Bacterial small subunit ribosomal RNA
Source: RNAcentral
AGUGAACGCUGGCGGUAGGCCUAACACAUGCAAGUCGAACGGCAGCACAGUAAGAGCUUGCUCUUACGGGUGGCGAGUGGCGGACGGGUGAGGAAUACAUCGGAAUCUACUUUUUCGUGGGGGAUAACGUAGGGAAACUUACGCUAAUACCGCAUACGACCUACGGGUGAAAGCAGGGGAUCUUCGGACCUUGCGCGAUUGAAUGAGCCGAUGUCGGAUUAGCUAGUUGGCGGGGUAAAGGCCCACCAAGGCGACGAUCCGUAGCUGGUCUGAGAGGAUGAACGCCCAACAGGAAAAUAGAACAGGGCCCAAACCCCCAGGGGGGGCAGAGGGGGGAAAUUUGGGAAAAGGGGGGAAAGCCUAACCCACCCAUCCCGGGGGGGGAAAGAAGGCCUUGGGUUUUUAAAGCCCUUUUGUGGGGAAAAAAAAACAGCAGGUUAAAACCCCGCGUUUCGGACGGUACCCAAAGAAUAAGCACCGGCAAACUUCGG